UAUUACAAAGCCCUUACAGCCGUGGCUUCCAGAAACAUGUUUCAUUCAUGACAGGAAACUGGGGGAUGCUAAUCAGAAUGCAGGUGCUUCUCCACAGGUUACAGAUUGACAGAUAGAACCACAACAUCCGCAUGUUAGGAGCACCUGAGAGCUUUCUAAGUGAAGACGCAUCCUCGGGCAAAAAGACAGCACUCCAACCUGACAUCUGGUCUGAGCUGAGAGAUCUGAGAGACAUGGUGGUGCUGCAGAGAGCAGAGCUGAGCCGCACCAUGGCUGAACUACGAGAUACUAAGAACCAGAUGGAGGGGCUAAAAACAGAGAUCUCAGUCAUGGAGUCCAGGCUGAUGAGUUCUGAAGGACAACUUGAGGCAAUGAAGACAGACAUGCAGCCAUAGUGAGCAGAGUAACAUCCGCUGAGAGUGAGGUUGAGAGACUACAGAAGGAGAAUGCAGAGAGACCUAAGGUCGCAUUUUCAACCUCUUUUGGAAAAACUGGACAGCAUGGGCCAUUCCACACUGCCACCACCGUGGUCUUCCAGAAUAUAUUCUCAAACACUGGCAACCACUACAACCAAGCUACAGACAGCCCUUACAGAAUUACCCACCAACAAAGGACCAAGCAGCGGAAGAAGGCUGGCGAGGUAAGGGAAACCGGGAGGCACCCCCAAGACAUUUUUAGGGGGGGGCACAAGGGGAGUUUUGCGGGGCAAGAAUGGAGCCCCAGGCCAGCUCCCCGCACUAGCAUGGAGGUGCGUGUUCGCAAUCUGGUACGCCCAGCACCAGCACCACGCACCAGGAGUCUAGUGUGUCAACCCAGCCUCGCCAGUCAACAGUCGUCAUCAGAGCUGCCCGCCAGUCAACAGUCGUCAUCAGAGCUGCCCGCCAGUCAACAGUCGUCAUCAGAGCUGCCCGCCAGUCAACAGUCGUCAUCAGAGCUGCCCGCCAGUCAACAGUCGUCAUCAGAGCUGCCCGCCAGUCAACAGUCGUCAUCAGAGCUGCCCGCCAGUCAACAUUCGUCAUCAGAGCUGCCCGCCAGUCAACAGUCGUCAUCAGAGCUGCCCGCCAGUCAACAGUCG
This 1075-nucleotide long non-coding RNA is filed under the name Salmo salar (Atlantic salmon). RNAcentral's name for it is "lncRNA (ENSSSAG00000090642.1, ENSSSAG00000115271.1)". The record is from RNAcentral. Lineage: Eukaryota; Metazoa; Chordata; Actinopteri; Salmoniformes; Salmonidae.